Non-coding RNA from Vicugna pacos (alpaca), 3230 nucleotides. The record is from RefSeq and is a predicted model, not a curated record. Lineage: Eukaryota; Metazoa; Chordata; Mammalia; Artiodactyla; Camelidae.
CUCCGCAGCCAGGACAUAGAAACAGCACUGGUGGGUGAUUGCAUUGAUCCAGAUUUGAAAGUUGUGUGGCAGUGGAGAAGCAAGAAGUAAUUUCUACACAAGCAUUGUAGAGUUCUACAGUGAGAAAGCAGCAUCUCUGACUGCCUGAACUAUUCUGGAAUUACCCCCUCACCACUUGGGAAACCUACCAGGACACCAGUGGCCAGUGGACUUCUAGACAUAUGCUUCUUGCCCAAGAGCCUCCAUGUGGUUCUAGAACCAGUCCCACACAAAGGAAUGAGUACAGUUGCCUAGGAGGCAGGCCACUGUGGAAGUCAUACUUGUGAAAGGAACUCAGCUGCCAAGUAGUGAAGACUUCAGGUGGAGGAUGAAUUGAGUCAGUUCCUGUAAGGGAGGGGAUUCGGUCUCGGGGGGCUGAACUUCUCUUGGAACUGAGGGCAAUAGGACAAGCCUUGCAUGCGGCAUUUAAAAAGUGAGCUCCCUCCUGCCCGGGGUCAAACAGGACCUCCGUCUUGUUCACCAGUGUUAUUUUAUAGCCUCCCCUCAACCCCUAGACAUGUACAACUAGUGAAGUAAUGGUCGGUGUGCCUGCCAGGAACACAGCUAAUUUCUGUUAAUUAGCCAUAGGCCAGCAAUUAGUAAAUUAGUAGAUUGUGCUUGAGUUGAACAUUUUCAAUCUAAUGGUUCAUGAAAUAGACUGCUGCUUAUUUUAUUUAGGUAUCAGUGACUCUUAGUGCGUCAAAAGGAUGUUUAAAACAGCAAAGGAAUAAUCAAAAGUACAAUUUAGCAUCUCAGUUCAGAAACAGAUUCAAACUGUAUAAUGACAGCAGCCCUUGUUGAAAUCAGUGCAGUAACAGAUUGACAGUGGAAGCACCGGAACAGCAUAGUGUCAUUCCUGAUGGGUUCCAGCCGUGGCACCUGGACUCCAAGCAGGUGUGCUGUGGUGUGGCCCAGGAAGCGGAAGAACUGAGCAUUCUGAUAGUCCAGACCUUGGCAAAGUAAUAGUCGCAGAGGAAGUGCUUUUUGAGAAAGAGCAGAAGUGAAGUGCACCUAGGAAGCUAGUUCAGUGUUGGAGACCUAAAUGCAAAUGGGAAAGAAAUGCAUCUUUAGAGCCAGUGCAGUCGGAGCCUUUCAUGUCAAGUCACGAACAUUUUCAACCAGGGCAGCAACCUCCCCUGCAUUUUUGUUCAUCUGAUUUUCCAUUUCAGUUCUCAUUCUCUUUACCCAGCCCAGCUGUGGGACUGCAUGCUAGUUAUCUCACGGUGGUGAUACCAUCUGCUGAAAAGGCUGGCAGCCGAGCCAUCCCCAUCUUUUUCACCUCUACCUGCCCUGGUCCGGAAAAGAGAAGGCAGUGUGCUUCCCCCAUGCCCUGCUCAGGGACUGACUCUGCUUCACAGAUUGAAGCAGAAACUGAGAACUUGGCCAGUUCUCUAAGCCAGAGCCUUUGCCUGUGGUGUUCAGUACUGAAGUUUGGGGACUCAGCCUAUGUCUACACAUGGCCUGGGUGGGGUGGGCCAGGUGACAUGGUCAAUCUAAUGAAAGAAGUUGACUAAACUACUGUCAUAUGCAGUUCCAGGCAUGUGUGAUUCAUGGUCUUGGGUCGGAUAUAAGUGAACAAGUCAAUUUCUUGGCCACUGCUUUUACCUCUAUCGCUGGGCACAAAUGAAAGCUGUUUGGUCACCAGAGGGUGAAGGUGUAGAUGAUGUUGACUGAUUCCAUCCUCAACCCUGGAAAAAGAGCUGAAAGAAUAUGGUUUACAUAUAAAUCAGCUGUACCAUCUUUCUGUAGAAACAACGGCAUGAUCUUUCUUCACAAUCGUACUUGUAUUAAAGUAUUUUUAAACUUCAGAAUAGGAAUGAGGAACCUAGGCUGACACUGGUGAAUUGUUCCCAGCUGGCUGGCUAUAUGGAAGAGAAUGGGCAGGGCACACUGUCCCUAGUCCAGUUUCCCCCAAUGAAGUUCUGAAGUUUGCAUAAGAAUAGUUGAGGAUGAUAGUUAAACACCUUUUUCUUUUAUGUAUAUUAAAAUCUUAAUGCUUUUGACAACUGUGAGGGAUGUUAUGAAGAGAGGAAACUAUUUACUAUCUCCUCAAAAGUUAGCAGGGACAGGGAGUGAAUCUUGAUUUGACCAGAGAAAAAAGGUGGUUGGAGUUUUCCACUUUUGAACCGUUGAUUUGAUCUCAAGGGAACACAGCCUUACAGUUGUACAGCUGGGCGCUGAAAUUAAUAGCAAGAAGUCAAUCACAUUUUUACCCUUUGACUCUGAUUUUUUUUUGCUUACCAUAUUUUGUUAUGAUCUGGGUUCCUUGGAUAUUUUUCCUGUUAUCAUGAGCUUGAAAAGAAUGUGGUAAGCUUCCACCCAUUUGUAUUAAUGUAGGAGAGCAUUAAGACAGCUACAAGACAAGCAUAGAUAAGCCAGAAGUCAAAGUGAGAAAGUCAGAGUGUUCCAACCAAAGGAGCUGAAGAAACAACGGAGGCCCAGAGAGGGAAGGUGGCAGCUCUCAGAUUCCCAUUCCUGUCUUCUUUCCAGAAUAUGGUACAUGACUUUACUGCCACAUACUCUCCUUUCUAAUUAUGAUUUGUAAAGGUUAUUGGUUGGUAUUCCUGGGGCAUGAAACCAAUUAGGUAGGUGUUUAAGAAUGGACCCAGAGCCAUUCAAUGGUAGGGAAAGCUAGACCCAAACUAAAGACUCACGUUGAACGAGCAGAUCUGAAGUUGACACUUGCUUGCAUUGUUAAGUGUUGGCGUUCUCCUGGGUUCUGCCCUUUGCCCUCUUUUCCUCUGGUAACAGUAGCUCCGUGGUCAGGGUUGGUCAGGCAAAUAUAAGACUAACUCUGAACUGAAAAGGUACAACUGCAGUUCUUAUGAUUUCCGGCCUGUCUCAGAGGAUAAUGGAUCGCUUCUUCAGUUCAACACCAACCUUUUCACCAGUCCAUCUCUUAAUUUUUUGCACUUCCCUUCUACCCUGCCACACCUGUAACCACAACCAAACCUCUAUUUUGUUUUAAUAAAAACAAACAAAAAUCUUUUCAACCUGUGUUCCCCCUCAGGUAUUCCCUUGUCAUCCAAGCCUCUUGAAAGAAUGGUCCAUACCUGAUCUAAGCCUUCGUUUUCAUUCACCCCAAUGCCAAACUCAGUGGACACCUUCUAGUCUUUAUUUUAAGGGAUCUUGCUUUGCAGUGUUUAACACUGUUUAACCAUUCACCUGCUCGAAACUCUUUCUUCCCUGGC